This 175-nucleotide ribosomal RNA is filed under the name Parathielavia appendiculata. Its description in RNAcentral is "5.8S ribosomal RNA". The stretch from base 1 to 154 matches the Rfam family "5.8S ribosomal RNA". Rfam says of the family: 5.8S ribosomal RNA (5.8S rRNA) is a component of the large subunit of the eukaryotic ribosome. The record is from RNAcentral. Lineage: Eukaryota; Fungi; Ascomycota; Sordariomycetes; Sordariales; Chaetomiaceae.
AACUUUCAACAACGGAUCUCUUGGUUCUGGCAUCGAUGAAGAACGCAGCGAAAUGCGAUAAGUAAUGUGAAUUGCAGAAUUCAGUGAAUCAUCGAAUCUUUGAACGCACAUUGCGCCCGCCAGUAUUCUGGCGGGCAUGCCUGUUCGAGCGUUCAUUUCAACCAUCAAGCCCCGU